This 497-nucleotide ribosomal RNA is filed under the name uncultured bacterium. Its description in RNAcentral is "partial 16S ribosomal RNA". It matches the Rfam family "Bacterial small subunit ribosomal RNA", at positions 28 to 507 of the family's 1533-position model. The record is from RNAcentral.
GAUGAACGCUGGCGGCGUGCCUAAUACAUGCAAGUCGAGCGAACGGACGAGAAGCUUGCUUCUCUGAUGUUGGCGGCGGACGGGUGAGUAACACGUGGAUAACCUACCUAUAAGACUGGGAUAACUUCGGGAAACCGGAGCUAAUACCGGAUAAUAUUUUGAACCGCAUGGUUCAAAAGUGAAAGACGGUCUUGCUGUCACUUAUAGAUGGAUCCGCGCUGCAUUAGCUAGUUGGUAAGGUAACGGCUUACCAAGGCAACGAUGCAUAGCCGACCUGAGAGGGUGAUCGGCCACACUGGAACUGAGACACGGCCCAGACUCCUACGGGAGGCAGCAGUAGGGAAUCUUCCGCAAUGGGCGAAAGCCUGACGGAGCAACGCCGCGUGAGUGAUGAAGGUCUUCGGAUCGUAAAACUCUGUUAUUAGGGAAGAACAUAUGUGUAAGUAACUGUGCACAUCUUGACGGUACCUAAUCAGAAAGCCACGGCUAACUACGUG